AUUGAACGCUGGCGGCAUGCUUUACACAUGCAAGUCGAACGGUAACAGGUUAAGCUGACGAGUGGCGAACGGGUGAGUAAUGCAUCGGAACGUGCCCGGUCGUGGGGGAUAACGCAGCGAAAGCUACGCUAAUACCGCAUACGAUCUGAGGAUGAAAGCGGGGGACCGUAAGGCCUCGCGCGAUCGGAGCGGCCGAUGUCAGAUUAGGUAGUUGGUGGGGUAAAGGCUCACCAAGCCAACGAUCUGUAGCUGGUCUGAGAGGACGACCAGCCACACUGGGACUGGGAGACGGCCCAGACUCCUACGGGAGGCAGCAGUGGGGAAUUUUGGACAAUGGGCGAAAGCCUGAUCCAGCAAUGCCGCGUGCAGGAAGAAGGCCUUCGGGUUGUAAACUGCUUUUGUACGGAGCGAAAAGGUCUCCUCUAAUACAGGGGGCUCAUGACGGUACCGUAAGAAUAAGCACCGGCUAACUACGUGCCAGCCGCCGCAGUAA
This 493-nucleotide ribosomal RNA is filed under the name uncultured bacterium. Its description in RNAcentral is "partial 16S ribosomal RNA". It matches the Rfam family "Bacterial small subunit ribosomal RNA", at positions 29 to 523 of the family's 1533-position model. The record is from RNAcentral.